CAUAGUUUAUUAGAUCUUACUCAACUUGGAUACCUGUGGUAACCUAAGAGCUAAUACAUGCAAGUAAGUCCCGACCGUGAGGGAGGGAUGCAUUUAUUAGAAUAAAACCAAUCGGGCUUGCUCGCUUUAUGGUGAAUCUGAAUAACUAUGCUGAUCGCACAGUCCGCGUACUGGCGACGUAUCUUUCAAAUGUCUGCCUUAUCAACUUUCGAUGGUAGUUUACACGGCUACCAUGGUUUUCACGGGUAACGGAGAAUUAGGGUUCGACUCCGAGAGAGGGAGCCUGAGAAACGGCUACCACA
Molecule: ribosomal RNA, 302 nt
Filed under: Trileptium sp. 3 TJP-2010
Lineage: Eukaryota; Metazoa; Nematoda; Enoplea; Enoplida; Thoracostomopsidae
Description: SSU rRNA
Rfam family: Eukaryotic small subunit ribosomal RNA
Source: RNAcentral